AACUCCGAGACGCGAUGCCGACCCGCUUGAGGGGAAGCCGAUGAGCCCAUGCUCCCGAGAAAAGCCUCUAGCGAGCUCGUGUGGUGCCCGUACCCCAAACCGACUCAGGUGGACAGGUAGAGCAUACCAAGGUGAUCGAGAGAACUCUGGUCAAGGAACUCGGCAAAUUGGCCGCGUAACUUCGGGAUAAGCGGCGCCAUUGCCGGUGACGGGACUUGCUCCCCGAGCUGGCGGUGGUUGCAAAAACCAGGCCCUAGCGACUGUUUACUAAAAACACAGGAGCGUGCUAAGCCGUAAGGCGCCGUAUACGCUCUGACGCCUGCCCGGUGCCGGAAGGUUAAGGGGAAGGGUUAGCUGGACUUCGGUCCAGCGAAGCUCUGAACUUAAGCCCCGGUAAACGGCUGCGGUAACUAUAACCGUACUAAGGUAAAAGGAAGCCUCUCCGCAGGCAGAGAGGCGCUGCCCCUCCCGACGGUGACGUCGGUGAGUGCAGCUGGCUAUGUGCUGGAAAACCCGGCGUAUCCAUUCGGUACUCGUCAUCCGGUUUCUGUCACAGCUGAUCUCUAGGCUGACGACAUGGAUGGCAGUGAAAAUCCGGAAGGUGUUUGGCUGACAAGGGCCAUACCGGAAAACCAGCAGGAAAGACUCAAGACCAUAGGAUGGAUCUUGGGGUUCGUGGACGGGGAAGGUUGCUUCAGCUGCCCCAUCUACGCGUGCCGAACGAUGACUCUGAAGUGGCAAGUGCGGCCGGAGUUCGCGGUCGUACAAGGAGCGGUCAAGUAGGGAUGUGCUCGAGGAGAUGGUCCGAUUCUUCGGAUGCGGCAAGGUCUACCGCAACCGCCGGCACGACAACCACCGAGAGGAUCUCUUUCGGUACUGCGUCCAGCGGUUCGACGACCUCCGCACGAAGAUCGUUCCGUUCUUCAGAGAGAACCCUUUGCGAACUUCCAAACGGGAGAAUUUCGAGAAGUUCGCAACGGUCAUCGAGCUGAUGCAACUGCGACGGCACCUAACGGUGCCGGGGAUCAUCGAGAUCGCAGAGAUAGCUCAGACGAUGAACCACCGCAAGCCUUCGAAGGUAUUGAGAAUCCUCAGAGACCAUACGCCAGCCUCCUUCUGAUCCCACAGAAGAAGAAGAGAUGGUCCGGCCCCUGUGGCGACGCAGGGAGGUCAGCAGAAAUGACUGACCCGCCAAUCCGGAAGUCGUGCACCUGGUUGGUUAUCAAGUAACAGCUCCAGCGAAAUUCCUUGUCGGGUAAGUUCCGACCUGCACGAAAGGCGUAACGAUCUGGGCGCUGUCUCGACCAUAGGCUCGGUGAAAUUGUAGUCUCGGUGAAGAUGCCGAGUACCCGCGGAAAGACGGAAAGACCCCGUGAACCUUUACUAUAACCUGGCAUUGGAUGCUGACACACCUUGUGCAGGAUAGGAGGGAGGCUAUGAAGCCGGGACGCCAGUCUCGGUGGAGCCAUCCUUGAGAUACCUCCCUUGGUGUGUUGGUGUUCUAACCCCGUGCCGUGAGCCGGGCGGGGAACAGUGUCAGGUGGGUAGUUUGACUGGGGCGGUCGCCUCCUAAAAAGUAACGGAGGCGCCCAAAGGUUCCCUCAGCACGGUCGGAAAUCGUGCGCAGAGUGUAAACGCAUAAGGGAGCUUGACUGCGAGACCAACCGGUCAAGCAGGGACGAAAGUCGGGGUUAGUGAUCCGGCGGUAACGAGUGGAAGUGCCGUCGCUCAACGGAUAAAAGGUACUCCGGGGAUAACAGGCUUAUAGCCGCCAAGAGUUCAUAUCGACGCGGCUGUUUGGCACCUCGAUGUCGGCUCGUCGCAUCCUGGGGCUGGAGUAGGUCCCAAGGGUUGGGCUGUUCGCCCAUUAAAGCGGCACGCGAGCUGGGUUCAGAACGUCGUGAGACAGUUCGGUCCCUAUCUUCCGUGGGCGUUGGAGACUUGAGAGGAGCGGCUCCUAGUACGAGAGGACCGGAGUGGACGUACCUCUAGUGUACCGGUUGUCCUGCCAAGGGCACCGCCGGGUAGCUACGUACGGAAGAGAUAACCGCUGAAAGCAUCUAAGCGGGAAGCUCGCCUCAAGAUAAGGCCUCCCAUCCCCUUCGAGGGAGUAAGACUCCUGGUAGACGACCAGGUAAAUAGGCCACAGGUGUAAGUGCGGCGACGCAUUCAGCCGAGUGGUACUAAUAAGUCGAGGGCUUGAUGGU
RNAcentral lists this ribosomal RNA (2207 nucleotides) under Actinomycetota bacterium. RNAcentral's name for it is "partial 23S ribosomal RNA". It matches the Rfam family "Bacterial large subunit ribosomal RNA", at positions 1552 to 2925 of the family's 2925-position model. The record is from RNAcentral. Lineage: Bacteria; Bacillati; Actinomycetota.